GCGGGUUUAGCUCAGUUGGGAGAGCGUCAGACUGAAGUCAAAACUUCAGGAACUCAAUCUGAAGGUCGUGUGUUCGAUCCACACAAACCGCA
Molecule: transfer RNA, 92 nt
Rfam family: tRNA
About the family: Transfer RNA (tRNA) molecules are approximately 80 nucleotides in length.
Source: Rfam